GACGUAACGCUGGCGGCGUGCUUAACACAUGCAAGUCGAACGGAGCGUCGUUUGAAGGAGACUUCGGUCAAUGGAUGAGAUUGCUUAGUGGCGGGCGGGUGAGUAACGCGUGAGGAACCUGCCUUUCAGAGGGGGACAACAGUUGGAAACGACUGCUAAUACCGCAUGACGCAUAGGAGCCGCAUGGCUCUUAUGCCAAAGAUUUAUCGCUGAAAGAUGGCCUCGCGUCUGAUUAGCUAGUUGGUGAGGUAACGGCCCACCAAGGCGACGAUCAGUAGCCGGACUGAGAGGUUGACCGGCCACAUUGGGACUGAGAUACGGCCCAG
This 326-nucleotide ribosomal RNA is filed under the name uncultured bacterium. RNAcentral describes it as "bacterial SSU rRNA". It matches the Rfam family "Bacterial small subunit ribosomal RNA", at positions 32 to 334 of the family's 1533-position model. The record is from RNAcentral.